Molecule: ribosomal RNA, 461 nt
Filed under: uncultured bacterium
Lineage: Bacteria
Description: partial 16S ribosomal RNA
Rfam family: Bacterial small subunit ribosomal RNA
Source: RNAcentral
GAUGAACGCUGGCGGCGUGCCUAAAACAUGCAAGUCGUGCGGCAGCGGGCCUUCGGGUGCCGGCGAGCGGCGGACGGGUGAGUAACGCGUAGGAACGUACCCCAAAGUGAGGGAUAAGCUCCGGAAACGGAGUCUAAUCCCGCAUAUGCCCUUAGGAGUAAAGGAGUAAUCCGCUUUGGGAGCGGCCUGCGUCCGAGUAGUUUGUUGGUGAGGUAAUGGCUUACCAAGACGAUGAUCGGUAGCUGGUUUGAGAGGAUGAUCAGCCACACUGGGACUGAGACACGGCCCAGACUCCUACGGGAGGCAGAAGUUAGGAAUUUUCCACAGUGGGGGCAACCCUGAUGGAGCAACGCCGCGUGCAGGAAGACGGCCUUCGGGUUGUAAACUGCUUUUAAAAGUGAAGAUUAUGACGGUAACUUUAGAAUAAGGAUCGGCUAACUCCGUGCCAGCAGCCGCCGUAA